GAUGAAGAACGUAGCGAAAUGCGAUAAGUAAUGUGAAUUGCAGAAUUCAGUGAAUCAUCGAAUCUUUGAACGCACCUUGCGCCCUUUGGCUAUUCCAAAGGGCAUGCCUGUUUGAGUAUCAUGAACACCUCAACUCUCAUGGUCUGCCAUGAUGAGCUUGGACUUUGGAGGUCUGCUGGCCUGUGGUCAGCUCCUCUCAAAUGAAUCAGCUUUCCGGUGUUUGGUGGCAUCAUGGGUGUGAUAAAUAUCUACGCUUGUGGUUUUCCACCAGGUAACCUUCAGUGAUGGGGGUUCGCUGGGGCUCAUAAAUGUCUCUCCUCAGCGAAGACAGCUUUGUGAAUGUUUGAUCUCAAAUCAGGUAGGACUACCCGCUGAACUUAAGCAUAUCAAUAAGCGGAGG
This 400-nucleotide unclassified non-coding RNA is filed under the name soil metagenome. Its description in RNAcentral is "partial contains 5.8S ribosomal RNA, internal transcribed spacer 2, and large subunit ribosomal RNA". The stretch from base 1 to 121 matches the Rfam family "5.8S ribosomal RNA", at positions 35 to 154 of the family's 154-position model. The record is from RNAcentral.